CCUACGGGGGGCAGCAGUGGGGAAUAUUGGACAAUGGGGGCAACCCUGAUCCAGCCAUGCCGCGUGUGUGAAGAAGGCCCUCGGGUUGUAAAGCACUUUCAGUGAGGAAGAACGCCUGGUGGUUAAUACCCAUCAGGAAAGACAUCACUCACAGAAGAAGCACCGGCUAACUCCGUGCCAGCAGCCGCGGUAAUACGGAGGGUGCGAGCGUUAAUCGGAAUUACUGGGCGUAAAGCGCGCGUAGGUGGCUCGAUAAGCCGGUUGUGAAAGCCCCGGGCUCAACCUGGGAACGGCAUCCGGAACUGUCAAGCUAGAGUGCAGGAGAGGAAGGUAGAAUUCCCGGUGUAGCGGUGAAAUGCGUAGAGAUCGGGAGGAAUACCAGUGGCGAAGGCGGCCUUCUGGACUGACACUGACACUGAGGUGCGAAAGCGUGGGUAGCAAACAGGAUUAGAUACCCGAGUAGUC
This 465-nucleotide ribosomal RNA is filed under the name Vreelandella stevensii. RNAcentral's name for it is "partial 16S ribosomal RNA". It matches the Rfam family "Bacterial small subunit ribosomal RNA", at positions 338 to 795 of the family's 1533-position model. The record is from RNAcentral. Lineage: Bacteria; Pseudomonadati; Pseudomonadota; Gammaproteobacteria; Oceanospirillales; Halomonadaceae.